GAUGAACGCUAGCUACAGGCUUAACACAUGCAAGUCGAGGGGCAGCAUGGUCUUAGCUUGCUAAGGCCGAUGGCGACCGGCGCACGGGUGAGUAACACGUAUCCAACCUGCCGUCUACUCUUGGACAGCCUUCUGAAAGGAAGAUUAAUACAAGAUGGCAUCAUGAGUCCACAUGUUCACAUGAUUAAAGGUAUUCCGGUAGACGAUGGGGAUGCGUUCCAUUAGAUAGUAGGCGGGGUAACGGCCCACCUAGUCUUCGAUGGAUAGGGGUUCUGAGAGGAAGGUCCCCCACAUUGGAACUGAGACACGGUCCAAACUCCUACGGGAGGCAGCAGUGAGGAAUAUUGGUCAAUGGGCGAGAGCCUGAACCAGCCAAGUAGCGUGAAGGAUGACUGCCCUAUGGGUUGUAAACUUCUUUUAUAAAGGAAUAAAGUCGGGUAUGGAUACCCGUUUGCAUGCACUUUAUGAAUAAGGAUCGGCUAACUCCGUGCCAGCAGCCGCGGUAAUACGGAGGAUCCGAGCGUUAUCCGGAUUUAUUGGGUUUAAAGGGAGCGUAGAUGGAUGUUUAAGUCAGUUGUGAAAGUUUGCGGCUCAACCGUAAAAUUGCAGUUGAUACUGGAUAUCUUGAGUGCAGUUGAGGCAGGCGGAAUUCGUGGUGUAGCGGUGAAAUGCUUAGAUAUCACGAAGAACUCCGAUUGCGAAGGCAGCCUGCUAAGCUGCAACUGACAUUGAGGCUCGAAAGUGUGGGUAUCAAACAGGAUUAGAUACCCUGGUAGUCCACACGGUAAACGAUGAAUACUCGCUGUUUGCGAUAUACAGCAAGCGGCCAAGCGAAAGCGUUAAGUAUUCCACCUGGGGAGUACGCCGGCAACGGUGAAACUCAAAGGAAUUGACGGGGGCCCGCACAAGCGGAGGAACAUGUGGUUUAAUUCGAUGAUACGCGAGGAACCUUACCCGGGCUUAAAUUGCAGAUGAAUUACGGUGAAAGCCGUAAGCCGCAAGGCAUCUGUGAAGGUGCUGCAUGGUUGUCGUCAGCUCGUGCCGUGAGGUGUCGGCUUAAGUGCCAUAACGAGCGCAACCCUUGUUGUCAGUUACUAACAGGUUCCGCUGAGGACUCUGACAAGACUGCCAUCGUAAGAUGUGAGGAAGGUGGGGAUGACGUCAAAUCAGCACGGCCCUUACGUCCGGGGCUACACACGUGUUACAAUGGGGGGUACAGAGGGCCGCUACCACGCGAGUGGAUGCCAAUCCCAAAAACCUCUCUCAGUUCGGACUGGAGUCUGCAACCCGACUCCACGAAGCUGGAUUCGCUAGUAAUCGCGCAUCAGCCACGGCGCGGUGAAUACGUUCCCGGGCCU
This 1358-nucleotide ribosomal RNA is filed under the name uncultured bacterium. Its description in RNAcentral is "bacterial SSU rRNA". It matches the Rfam family "Bacterial small subunit ribosomal RNA", at positions 28 to 1381 of the family's 1533-position model. The record is from RNAcentral.